This 110-nucleotide ribosomal RNA is filed under the name Felis catus (domestic cat). Lineage: Eukaryota; Metazoa; Chordata; Mammalia; Carnivora; Felidae. The record is from RNAcentral.
GUCUACGGCCAUACCACCCUGAACGCGCCCGAUCUCAUCUGAUCUCGGAAGCUAAGCAGGGUCGGGCCUGGUUAGUACUUGGAUGGAGAAAAGAAAAUGUUCUUCAGAAA